This 228-nucleotide long non-coding RNA is filed under the name Lotus japonicus. Its description in RNAcentral is "long non-coding RNA (LJAP_LNC002155)". The record is from RNAcentral. Lineage: Eukaryota; Viridiplantae; Streptophyta; Magnoliopsida; Fabales; Fabaceae.
AUCAGGGAGGAGCAUCCACUUCUGGUUCUGUCCUUCAAGUUCAGAUGGAGAUUGAGACUUCCAGUACUGUUGAGAGGGCUGCAACUGAGAUUCCAGUAGCCAGAGGAGACCAAGUUAUUGAAGAUGGAGAAACCUUACCAACACAGUGCAGUGUUGUCCUUGACACAACAAUGGGAGAAUCAACUUGACCUUGCAUUGGAUGAAGGGAAAGCUUUUUGAGUGUAUGAA